AUGGGAGCCAUGUGCAAGUAAUUUGCAAUACCAAACGAUGGUCAUGAGCAGCAUACCAUAUCAUGCAAGCCUCAGUAGCAAAGGUUACAGAUCUCUUAUAUACAGGUUGAGUAGGAAUAUAUAUUACUUGUGUUUGCAAGAUUGGAAUAACUACAAACAGAAAUUGGUGAAGUUCAUCUAUGUUUUUUAAUUGAGCAAUGGACAUCAUGAUAAGCUUGAUACCUUCCUAUCAACCCAAACAUGGAUAAAAUCUCUUAACUACUCCAUUGUUAAUGAUUGGCGACCAUGGAUCGUUGAAAAUCAAGUUCCCGGGGAGCAGGCCAUACUGCACCAGAGUAUAAACCUCGUGAAUGCCUGGCGAUGGUAAGAAGGUGGAUGUCUUACCAGGCCUUAUAAACAACAAAUGUAUCACAAUUUGAAAUCACUGUCAAGAUUCCAUUAUAUAGGGGGAAAAAUCAAGAGUAAGUUAUAAUUACAAAAAUUUGUCAAUUCAACUAUAUGGUCUAAAGGUGUGGUGCUCCAAUUCUUCAGCUAGAAUUACAUGAACAAUAUU
This is a long non-coding RNA of Lycium ferocissimum, 553 nucleotides long. RefSeq lists it as uncharacterized. The record is from RefSeq and is a predicted model, not a curated record. The transcript has 2 exons. NCBI's taxonomy places the organism in Eukaryota, Viridiplantae, Streptophyta, Magnoliopsida, Solanales, Solanaceae.